The sequence is a transfer RNA, 71 nucleotides long. It matches the Rfam family "tRNA". Rfam says of the family: Transfer RNA (tRNA) molecules are approximately 80 nucleotides in length. Their secondary structure includes four short double-helical elements and three loops (D, anti-codon, and T loops). The record is from Rfam.
GCAACUGUAAUUUAAUGGUAAAAUAAUCAGUUUCCACCUGAAAUUUAAGGGUUCGAUUCCCUUUAGUUGUA